This 977-nucleotide ribosomal RNA is filed under the name uncultured bacterium. Its description in RNAcentral is "bacterial SSU rRNA". It matches the Rfam family "Bacterial small subunit ribosomal RNA", at positions 483 to 1460 of the family's 1533-position model. The record is from RNAcentral.
CCAGAAAGGGACGGCUAANUACGUGCCAGCAGCCGCGGUAAUACGUAGGUCCCGAGCGUUGUCCGGAUUUAUUGGGCGUAAAGCGAGCGCAGGCGGUUAGAUAAGUCUGAAGUUAAAGGCUGUGGCUUANCCAUAGUACGCUUUGGAAACUGUUUAACUUGAGUGCAGAAGGGGAGAGUGGAAUUCCAUGUGUAGCGGUGAAAUGCGUAGAUAUAUGGAGGAACACCGGUGGCGAAAGCGGCUCUCUGGUCUGUAACUGACGCUGAGGCUCGAAAGCGUGGGGAGCGAACAGGAUUAGAUACCCUGGUAGUCCACGCCGUAAACGAUGAGUGCUAGGUGUUAGGCCCUUUCCGGGGCUUAGUGCCGCAGCUAACGCAUUAAGCACUCCGCCUGGGGAGUACGACCGCAAGGUUGAAACUCAAAGGAAUUGACGGGGGCCCGCACAAGCGGUGGAGCAUGUGGUUUAAUUCGAAGCAACGCGAAGAACCUUACCAGGUCUUGGCAUCCCGAUGCCCGCUCUAGAGAUAGAGUUUUACUUCGGUACAUCGGUGACAGGUGGUGCAUGGUUGUCGUCAGCUCGUGUCGUGAGAUGUUGGGUUAAGUCCCGCAACGAGCGCAACCCUUAUUGUUAGUUGCCAUCAUUCAGUUGGGCACUCUAGCGAGACUGCCGGUAAUAAACCGGAGGAAGGUGGGGAUGACGUCAAAUCAUCAUGCCCCUUAUGACCUGGGCUACACACGUGCUACAAUGGCUGGUACAACGAGUCGCAAGUCGGUGACGGCAAGCUAAUCUCUUAAAGCCAGUCUCAGUUCGGAUUGUAGGCUGCAACUCGCCUACAUGAAGUCGGAAUCGCUAGUAAUCGCGGAUCAGCACGCCGCGGUGAAUACGUUCCCGGGCCUUGUACACACCGCCCGUCACACCACGAGAGUUUGUAACACCCGAAGUCGGUGAGGUAACCUUUUAGGAGCCAGCCNCCUAA